UAUCCCCACCCAUUCACACUCCAUUCGAAACAAACUCUAAGAGGUGUUGUCGAAGUCGAACUCUUCGCCCUCAUCCCUGGAACUCUUCGCCCUGUAGCCCGCCGCCACUGCAGCCACGUAGCCCCCGCAUCAGCCCUCGCAGCUCCCCGCAACCCCCACAGCCUCGCAUCCCCACAGCGGCGCAGCCACCGCAGCCCCUACACAGACACAGCCUCCACCGCCACCGUAGAAGAUCCGUCGCCGUCGUAGGAAGCUGCGUCGCCGUGAUUGGAAGCUCCCUCGCCGUCGUUUGGAAGCUCGUUGGCCGUCUCCUCUGUUCGAGCGCUCUCCUUUUCUCUCUGUGUCGCCGUUGUGUUCGAGCGCUCUCCUUCGCUCUCCAACAACGCCCUUCCUCCUCGCAGCCGGCAAGAAACAGAUUCAUCUAAGCCUGUUACUAAAGCUGCCUAAUUCAAGAUGAUGCAUCUGGUGUCUUGUUAUAGUGUUUACCCUCUAGCUGAUCAUGCUUUGUGCAUGCUCAUCUAACCAUUUGUCUUCCAUGUGUUAAUCCAGGGAAGUUCCAAGAAUAUUCCAUCUGUUGAAAAUUUUGGUCCACAGUGGAAAACUUCAGUGGGUUUCUUAAGAACUUAAGAUUGUAUAAGUAUAUUCUGAAAUUCUAGUGCACUCUGCUGAUCUAUAAUCCGUAAAGGCCAACACAACAACAACAACAACAACAACUGUCUCUUUGCUCUUCUCCAAGUUAGGAACAAGUACAAAAGGUGCUGAAUUAAGGAGAGAAGAGAGAGAAUUUUGAAGAGAAACAGAGAUUAAAGUGGUAGAGGUUUAGUAAGAAGAAGGACCGGGAGAAGGACCGGGAGUUGGAGAAACUAAGUCUGGAAAAUGAAAGGAUGAAGCUUGAGAACGAACGAAUCGCUUUAGAACUGAAACAAAAGGAAAUCGGCGCUGGCUUUAACUAGGUCCACAGUCUUGCAGCUUUUAUGGAAAUUGCAUUUUCUGUUUAAUUGUCAAUUGUCAGUGAAGCAGGUUAAUCCUAGACAAUAUGUUGCUGAAAUUCCUCAGGUUUGUUGUUUUCUUUCUCCUAUCGUUUUUCCACUAUGGCAUUGUUUGAGCUUCAUAACUCUAUUUUACUCUAAGAAUAGGUUACUCAAGUUAUGACUAGUUUCUUACUAAACAUUGCUUAUGCCUUUGAUGGGGCUAUCUUCCAUGCUUCACUAUAUGUGUUUUGGUCUCAUUCUAAUUGAUUUAAAGCUAUUUGACUGUAAUAUAUAUGUAAUCUUCUUUUUCGGAGGAAUUAAUCAAGAAUGUAAUUAAUGCCUGUUUAUGAGGAUGUUGUAGCAUAUGCAGAUGGCUGGAAUUAAUUGCAAUGAGAACACCCGGUUUUAGUGAAUUCUGAUCAUGACCAGGGGUCAAAGUUCUGCAAGAAAGUAGAAAUGCAUCUUUCAGAACAACAUCUGAGAAUAGUUUGCUAAAACUGCUUCUAAGAUUUGUGUUCAUGUGUCACAGAAGAUGAAUUCACGAAGAAAAUUUCUUAGUUCUUACCCACAAAUGGCAUGCCCGACUUCAUGAUAUGCCACUAAACUUUUGCUAACAUUACCUCCUUGUUAUUCACAUAUAAUUUUAUAUAUUUGAUGCAGCUUAAUAUUGAUUAGUAAUUUAGAAUAGAAGCUUCUCUACUCAAUUAAGUUACUCAACUUCCCUUGAAAUUUGAUUAUGCAGGGUCCAUGCCUAAGCAAAGUGGGCACUACUGUUUCUUUUAUCUAGUGAUGGCACUACUGUUUCUUUUAUCUCUUUUCUGUUCUUAUCUUUUCGGUGGGUUUGGUAUGAAUGUGAAUAUGAUCUUUGCUUCUUCUUUUUUUCUCUCUUGGUUCUUCAGGAAUCCGACAAUAUCAGAGGGUGAAAACCAACGAGAGACCUUUUGCAGUUUGGUGCUGCCUUUGCCAUUGGAGUCGAUAUAGAUUCACAAGCAAUUGCAUCAGCAUCUGAAAAUGCUACUCUGAAUAACAUCAUACCAGACAAGCUGCAACUGCACUUGAUUGCAAGCCAAACUUCUUCAUCCUGCAGGGAUGACUGGCCAUCUAGAGUUGUCGAGGGAGAAAAUGCUUUCGAGUUAGAUAGAGUCACUCACAAGGAUAAAUAUGAUGUGGUCAUUGCAAACAUACUUUUAAAUCCUCUGUUAAAUCUUGCUGAUCAAAUUAUCUUUUCUGCAAAGCCUGGAGUAAUUAUUGGUCUCUCUGGAAUCUUAAGUGAACAUGUAGUUUAAAUGUUCAAUUAAUUCUCAUUAUCGAUUUUCUUUAUUCGGAAUGCAGCUAUCUCUUUGCUGCCAAAUGCGGAUUCUUGUUGGUGGAACUGCUUCGAAUCACAUUCUCCUCCUAAAUUCAUCUCCUUUGUUCCUUAUGCAGGUCCAGAACUUAUUACAAAAAUAUUCACUAUUCUUAGAAGGCAUAGAAGUGUCAAAAAUGGAUGACUGGGCCUGUGUGAGUGGCAGAAAAAAAAAGAAUAUAGAUAUCUGCUGAUUCAAUGCUGUAGAUGCUUGGUUUAGGGGUUUAACUUUUCUCAUCCAAUCAUUCUUUGCUAUUUUAAUGCCACCCAGAAUGUUUUACAAGAAGCAGCAUGUUGAUGAUAUACUAGGAAUUAUAGUUGAUGAUCAAUACAUUUUGUUUGUGUCUUGAAUUAUAUAUAUUGACUUGCUUGUUUAUAAUA
This is a non-coding RNA of Arachis ipaensis, 2697 nucleotides long. Lineage: Eukaryota; Viridiplantae; Streptophyta; Magnoliopsida; Fabales; Fabaceae. The record is from RefSeq and is a predicted model, not a curated record.